CAACAAUUGGAGGGAAAGAUGUAAGGGAUUGUGUCCACAAAAUUCUUGACAGGCUCUUUACCAACCAGCUAAUGGCAAAAUUCAAUAUGAAGGGGAAGGGGAAGAAGCAGAAACUGCCUCUGGAGAAGACUACAACUUUUAAAGCAAUUAAAGCUGCAGUCAUGAAAUGGGAUAAAGAAGCUACAGAGGCUACAAUCAAGCAUCACGCAGCAGAACAUCUCAAACAUGCACUGGGGAGGAAGGGAGGUGGAGGGCAUACAGGGGUGGAAAGUAACUAGGAAUUUUGCAUGAGUACUAUAAAGGCUGUUUUAUGGUUCUGCGGAGACUCCACGCAG
This is a long non-coding RNA of Sander lucioperca (pikeperch), 335 nucleotides long. RefSeq lists it as uncharacterized. The transcript has 3 exons. The record is from RefSeq and is a predicted model, not a curated record. NCBI's taxonomy places the organism in Eukaryota, Metazoa, Chordata, Actinopteri, Perciformes, Percidae.